UACGUAGGUGGCAAGCGUUGUCCGGAAUUAUUGGGCGUAAAGCGCGCGCAGGCGGUCCUUUAAGUCUGAUGUGAAAGCCCACGGCUCAACCGUGGAGGGUCAUUGGAAACUGGGGGACUUGAGUGCAGAAGAGGAAAGCGGAAUUCCACGUGUAGCGGUGAAAUGCGUAGAGAUGUGGAGGAACACCAGUGGCGAAGGCGGCUCACUGGCUCGUAACUGACGCUCAUGCACGACAGCGUGGGGAUCAAACAGG
RNAcentral lists this ribosomal RNA (253 nucleotides) under uncultured bacterium. RNAcentral describes it as "partial 16S ribosomal RNA". It matches the Rfam family "Bacterial small subunit ribosomal RNA", at positions 524 to 776 of the family's 1533-position model. The record is from RNAcentral.